GGCGGAGGUGGCGUCGGCGCUGCCGGUGCCGACGCCCGACGAGCUGCCCAGCGCGUCCAGCCUCGGGUUCGACGGCCACGGCCUCGGGUUCGGCGGGCCCGGCGACGUGUGCUGCGGCGGCGGCGGGUACGGCUGGUUCGGCGGGCCCGGCGGGUACGGCCCCGGAACGUACGGGUACACCGGCCCGCUCUACUGGGGGGCGGCGCCGGCGGGAGGGUGGGGGAGCGUGGCCGCGGCCAACGUCGUGGUGCCGCUCGUCGUGGCUUGCGUCUCUGCAGCCCUCGCUUAUUAGCAUGCAUGCAGUAUAUAAAUUACUUGUAAUUUUUACAGGGGAAUUAUUAAGGUUACUCUACAUGUUUACCGCGCCUUUGCGCGAGCAUAUAAUUUUCCUUGUACACGUUUGCACUUAUGCUAACCACAAUAAUAAUAUGAAGUGGGCACUGUGGUUAAAUUUGAGAUGUGAA
Molecule: long non-coding RNA, 464 nt
Filed under: Setaria viridis
Lineage: Eukaryota; Viridiplantae; Streptophyta; Magnoliopsida; Poales; Poaceae
Description: long non-coding RNA (SVIR_LNC003804)
Source: RNAcentral